Molecule: ribosomal RNA, 245 nt
Filed under: uncultured Eubacteriales bacterium
Lineage: Bacteria; Bacillati; Bacillota; Clostridia; Eubacteriales
Description: uncultured Clostridiales bacterium partial 16S ribosomal RNA
Rfam family: Bacterial small subunit ribosomal RNA
Source: RNAcentral
UACGUAGGGAGCAAGCGUUAUCCGGAUUUAUUGGGUGUAAAGGGUGCGUAGACGGACAUGCAAGUUGGCUGUGAAAUCCCGAGGCUCAACCUCGGAACUGCAACCAAAACUACAUAUCUUGAGUACUGGAGGGGAAAGCGGAAUUCCUAGUGUAGCGGUGAAAUGCGUAGAUAUUAGGAAGAACACCGGUGGCGAAGGCGGCUUUCUGGACAGCAACUGACGUUGAGGCACGAAAGUGUGGGUAG